This 203-nucleotide long non-coding RNA is filed under the name Elaeis guineensis (African oil palm). Its description in RNAcentral is "long non-coding RNA (EGUI_LNC012545)". Lineage: Eukaryota; Viridiplantae; Streptophyta; Magnoliopsida; Arecales; Arecaceae. The record is from RNAcentral.
GCACUAUUUGUGUUGGUUGGAGGAGGUGGAGAUUUAUAUAUAAAUACCAACACAAAACCCAUCUAAGGCUCUAAGCUUCCCUAUUCCAUCGCUCCAAGCCUCCUACCAGACAAAAAUCAACGAAAACAAAGGAAAGACAAAAAACAUUAACACCUUGAUAGAGAGUUUGGGGAAGAAAAAAAAGAUAAGAAAUUAUUAGUAAG